CCUACGGGAGGCAGCAGUGGGGGAUAUUGCACAAUGGGGGGAACCCUGAUGCAGCGACGCCGCGUGGGUGAAGAAGCAUUUCGGUGUGUAAAGCCCUGUCAGCAGGGAAGAAAAUGACGGUACCUGACUAAGAAGCCCCGGCUAACUACGUGCCAGCAGCCGCGGUAAUACGUAGGGGACAAGCGUUAUCCGGAUUUACUGGGUGUAAAGGGGGCGCAGACGGCGAUGCAAGCCUGGAGUGAAAGGCCGGGGCCCAACCCCGGGACUGCACUUGAAACUGUGGAGCUGGAGUGCAGGAGGGGCAGGCGGAAUUCCUGGUGUAGCGGUGAAAUGCGUAGAUAUCAGGAGGAACACCAGUGGCGAAGGCGGCCUGCUGGACUGCAACUGACGUUGAGGCCCGAAAGCGUGGGGAGCAAACAGGAUUAGAUACCCUAGUAGUC
This 440-nucleotide ribosomal RNA is filed under the name uncultured bacterium. RNAcentral describes it as "partial 16S ribosomal RNA". It matches the Rfam family "Bacterial small subunit ribosomal RNA", at positions 338 to 795 of the family's 1533-position model. The record is from RNAcentral.